This 19-nucleotide small RNA is filed under the name Arabidopsis thaliana (thale cress). Its description in RNAcentral is "Ath_wt_03838". Lineage: Eukaryota; Viridiplantae; Streptophyta; Magnoliopsida; Brassicales; Brassicaceae. The record is from RNAcentral.
GCCGGCGAUGCGUCCUGGU